This 557-nucleotide ribosomal RNA is filed under the name proteobacterium LDB-B149. Its description in RNAcentral is "bacterial SSU rRNA". It matches the Rfam family "Bacterial small subunit ribosomal RNA", at positions 102 to 694 of the family's 1533-position model. Lineage: Bacteria; Pseudomonadati; Pseudomonadota. The record is from RNAcentral.
ACGGGUGAGUAACGCGUGGGAAUCUACCCAUCUCUGCGGAAUAGCUCUGGGAAACUGGAAUUAAUACCGCAUACGCCCUACGGGGGAAAGAUUUAUCGGGGAUGGAUGAGCCCGCGUUGGAUUAGCUAGUUGGUGGGGUAAAGGCCUACCAAGGCGACGAUCCAUAGCUGGUCUGAGAGGAUGAUCAGCCACAUUGGGACUGAGACACGGCCCAAACUCCUACGGGAGGCAGCAGUGGGGAAUAUUGGACAAUGGGCGCAAGCCUGAUCCAGCCAUGCCGCGUGAGUGAUGAAGGCCUUAGGGUUGUAAAGCUCUUUCACCGGUGAAGAUAAUGACGGUAACCGGAGAAGAAGCCCCGGCUAACUUCGUGCCAGCAGCCGCGGUAAUACGAAGGGGGCUAGCGUUGUUCGGAAUUACUGGGCGUAAAGCGCACGUAGGCGGAUAUUUAAGUCAGGGGUGAAAUCCCAGAGCUCAACUAUGGAACUGCCUUUGAUACUGGGUAUCUUGAGUAUGGAAGAGGUAAGUGGAAUUGCGAGUGUAGAGGUGAAAUUCGUAGA